GACAGCAGGCAGAGGAGCAUUUAGCAGUUUAUACCGUGUCCGAUUCAGAUUCCGGCAAGGAUCCAAGCAUGGAAUGCUGCCGUUGGGCAACUGCUGGCACUCUGCUCCUGCUCCUGGCUUCCCUGCUCCUGAAUCUUGGACAUUCUUUUCUCUCUCCCUUACUUGAUUACAGUGGAAGAUUUGACUGAGUAAAGAUGGCAGGAAUUUAAAUUUUGAUUUGGACUUAUAUAAAGGAGAAGCAUUGAGAUAUAUCAACAUACAUGUUGGUGUCAGAGCCUGCCAUCCAUUCUAUUUAUAUGGUGCCUGAUGCAGAAUCUAUUGAAAUCAGUGGAAAGACCCAUGCUGACCUUAGCAGGUUUGGGGUCAGGCCCAUAAACACUGGACUGGAUGCUGUUCUUGUUUAAAACUCACCAACCCCAUUAAAUAUUGAGCUAUAGAGCUGGAAUUAUAUUCAGAGUUUGAACCUGUAAGUACAAAGUACUGGCUCAGUCCUGCAAACAUAACAGUAGAAGCAUUCCCUGCUCUGAUUGAGAUCAGGUAUUUGGGGAAUAUUGCUCAUUGCCCUAUGAACUUUUGCAUCCUAAGGAAAUAUUAACACACCACUUUUAAAAGAAACAAAAGAAAGCAGGCAUUCUAUUCCAAAGAUUUCCCUAUUUCAUUAAAAAAUAAAAAGCAACCCAAGCAGAAAUGUGACUGAAACCAUGACCAGCCAUUGACAUGUGUGUUCAUCCAAACUUGAAGUCAAACCACUUCUUGUCAAAAAGGCAUUUAAUCAAAUUUGCAAUUGCUGUUUGCCUGCUUUCAGUGGUCUUUAGCUCCUUUGCCUGCUAUUGUGGUAGCUGCAAAAGUAACACUAGGAAUUAUAAUAAAGUACAUGUGUUUUUCUGCCGAAUUUCUUUUUUUCUCUGCUCUAAUUUAUACAUGGAAACUAGUCAAACACAAUAUCCCAUUCCUUUCAGGCUCUCUGGCACUUUACUCCUCUAUUACUAAGCGGAUCUGUCUUGGAUGAGCAUAAGCAUAAUUAGCUUGUAGAACAAAUGUUAAAUUCCUUGUUUACAUCAAAUGUAAGAAGGUUAACUCAGCCAUUUCCCUUCACAUAUAGAUCUGUUUGUCUAUCACUGUAUGUCUGACCAUCUGUUUCUACAUUUAUAGCUGUAUAGGGAUGGAUUUUCCAGUGAGGGCUCCAAAAUUACACACGUGCAUUUUCCAUGUGGCUUAAUUUGCAUGUGCUAAGUGGCCUUCAGUCAUGCCAUCUGGGUAGAUGUGCACUGUUUGCAUGUACAAGUUCAAGAUUUAUUUGUAAAAAAAAAAAAAAAAAGGGUGCAUGUUCAACAUUUUGCACAGUUUUGGCAUCUGACUUGAAAAUCUGGCUAGCACUGUCGU
Molecule: long non-coding RNA, 1383 nt
Organism: Alligator sinensis (Chinese alligator)
Lineage: Eukaryota; Metazoa; Chordata; Crocodylia; Alligatoridae
Exons: 3
Source: RefSeq, a predicted model, not a curated record